UAAUAAGUGUUUUAUGGCACUUCUUAAAUCCAUAUCCCACCUUGUGUGCAAUGUCAGUCGAUCUUUCUUAUGGAGAUCGACCAAACAUCAACCUUAUUUUUUAACUGUCUGUCUGAAAACUAUUAUGAAUAAACAAUUCAAAUA
This 144-nucleotide unclassified non-coding RNA is filed under the name soil metagenome. RNAcentral's name for it is "partial internal transcribed spacer 1". The record is from RNAcentral.